UACAGAGGGGGCAAGCGUUGUUCGGAAUUACUGGGCGUAAAGGGCGCGUAGGCGGCCUGUUAAGUCGGACGUGAAAUCCCUCGGCUCAACCGGGGAACUGCGUCCGAUACUGGCGGGCUUGAAUUCGGGAGAGGGAUGUGGAAUUCCAGGUGUAGCGGUGAAAUGCGCAGAUAUCGGGAAGAACACCCGUGGCGAAGGCGGUUCUCUGGGACGGUACUGACGCUGAGACGCGAAAGCGUGGGGAGCGAACAGG
RNAcentral lists this ribosomal RNA (253 nucleotides) under uncultured bacterium. RNAcentral's name for it is "partial 16S ribosomal RNA". It matches the Rfam family "Bacterial small subunit ribosomal RNA", at positions 524 to 776 of the family's 1533-position model. The record is from RNAcentral.